Molecule: non-coding RNA, 141 nt
Filed under: Streptomyces sp.
Lineage: Bacteria; Bacillati; Actinomycetota; Actinomycetes; Kitasatosporales; Streptomycetaceae
Source: RNAcentral
AGAGGAAGCCGGUGAGAAUCCGGCGCGGUCCCGCCACUGUCACCGGGGAGCGCACCCCCGCGCACGAGCAGCACGCAACGCCACGGCCCGCGAAAGCCGGAAGGCAAGGGGGCCCGCGCCGAUCCGGGAGCCAGGAGACUC